This 755-nucleotide ribosomal RNA is filed under the name uncultured bacterium. RNAcentral describes it as "bacterial SSU rRNA". It matches the Rfam family "Bacterial small subunit ribosomal RNA", at positions 8 to 796 of the family's 1533-position model. The record is from RNAcentral.
AGAGUUUGAUCCUGGCUCAGAAUCAACGCUGGCGGCGGCUUAACACAUGCAAGUCGAGCGAGAAAGGGGAGCAAUCCCUGAGUAAAGCGGCGCACGGGUGAGUAACACGUGGGGAAUCUACCUCUGGGUGGGGAAUAACUCUGGGAAACCGGAGCUAAUACCGCAUAAGCCUGAAAAGGGAAAGCCGAAAGGCGCCGAGAGAGGACCCCGCGGCCGAUUAGCUAGUUGGUGAGGUAACGGCUCACCAAGGCAAAGAUCGGUAGCCGGCCUGAGAGGGCACACGGCCACACUGGCACUGAAACACGGGCCAGACUCCUACGGGAGGCAGCAGUGGGGAAUCUUGCACAAUGGGGGAAACCCUGAUGCAGCGACGCCGUGUGAGCGAUGAAGCCCUUCGGGGCGUAAAGCUCUUUCGGCAGGAACGAUAAUGACGGUACCUGAAGAAGAAGCUGCGGCUAACUACGUGCCAGCAGCCGCGGUAAUACGUAGGCAGCAAGCGUUGUUCGGAGUUACUGGGCGUAAAGAGUGCGUAGGCGGUGUCGAAAGUUUGGCGUGAAAUCUCCCGGCUUAACUGGGAGGGUGCGCCGAAAACUGCGACGCUGGAGUGUGGGAAAGGCAAGCGGAAUUCCUGGUGUAGCGGUGAAAUGCGUAGAUAUCAGGAGGAACACCGGCGGUGUAGACGGCUUGCUAGACCAUAACUGACGCUGAGGCACGAAAGCGUGGGUAGCAAACAGGAUUAGAUACCCUAGUAGUCC